This 65-nucleotide transfer RNA is filed under the name bovine gut metagenome. It matches the Rfam family "tRNA", at positions 5 to 66 of the family's 71-position model. From Rfam's summary of the family: Transfer RNA (tRNA) molecules are approximately 80 nucleotides in length. Their secondary structure includes four short double-helical elements and three loops (D, anti-codon, and T loops). Further hydrogen bonds mediate the characteristic L-shaped molecular structure. tRNAs have two regions of fundamental functional importance: the anti-codon, which is responsible for specific mRNA codon recognition, and the 3' end, to which the tRNAs corresponding amino acid is attached (by aminoacyl-tRNA synthetases). tRNAs cope with the degeneracy of the genetic code in two manners: having more than one tRNA (with a specific anti-codon) for a particular amino acid; and 'wobble' base-pairing, i.e. permitting non-standard base-pairing at the 3rd anti-codon position. The record is from RNAcentral.
GCCUUAGCCGAAUUGGUAAGGCAAUUGACUUGUAAUCAAUAGAUUCCGGGUUCGAGUCCUGGAGG